Molecule: ribosomal RNA, 439 nt
Filed under: uncultured bacterium
Lineage: Bacteria
Description: partial 16S ribosomal RNA
Rfam family: Bacterial small subunit ribosomal RNA
Source: RNAcentral
CUACGGGUUGCUCCAGUGAGGAAUAUUGCACAAUGGGGGGAACCCUGAUGCAGCAACGCCGCGUGGAGGAUGACGCAUUUCGGUGUGUAAACUCCUUUUAUAUGUCAAGAAAAUGACGGUAGCACAUGAAUAAGCACCGGCUAACUCCGUGCCAGCAGCCGCGGUAAUACGGAGGGUGCAAGCGUUACUCGGAAUCACUGGGCGUAAAGGACGCGUAGGCGGGUUGGAAAGUCAGGUGUGAAAUCCUACAGCUUAACUGUAGAACUGCACUUGAAACUUCUAAUCUAGAGUAUGGGAGGGGGAGAUGGAAUUAGUGGUGUAGGGGUAAAAUCCGUAGAUAUCACUAGGAAUACCUAAAGCGAAGGCGAUCUCCUGGAACAUUACUGACGCUAAAGCGUGAAAGCGUGGGGAGCAAACAGGAUUAGAUACCCUAGUAGUC